UUGAACCGAUCAGUUAACCGAUA
RNAcentral lists this non-coding RNA (23 nucleotides) under Arabidopsis thaliana (thale cress). Lineage: Eukaryota; Viridiplantae; Streptophyta; Magnoliopsida; Brassicales; Brassicaceae. The record is from RNAcentral.